This 71-nucleotide transfer RNA is filed under the name Ophiostoma piceae UAMH 11346. RNAcentral's name for it is "tRNA-Und (NNN) (tRNA-Und-NNN-2-1)". It matches the Rfam family "tRNA". From Rfam's summary of the family: Transfer RNA (tRNA) molecules are approximately 80 nucleotides in length. Their secondary structure includes four short double-helical elements and three loops (D, anti-codon, and T loops). Lineage: Eukaryota; Fungi; Ascomycota; Sordariomycetes; Ophiostomatales; Ophiostomataceae. The record is from Rfam by way of RNAcentral.
GGGCUGGUAUUCUAGUGGUAAGAUAGUCAAUUCAGGAAAGCAAAGCGCGAGUUCAAGCCUCGCCCGGUCCG